RNAcentral lists this ribosomal RNA (445 nucleotides) under uncultured bacterium. Its description in RNAcentral is "bacterial SSU rRNA". It matches the Rfam family "Bacterial small subunit ribosomal RNA", at positions 329 to 792 of the family's 1533-position model. The record is from RNAcentral.
GACCAGACUCCUACGGGAGGCAGCAGUGGGGAAUAUUGCACAAUGGGGGAACCCUGAUGCAGCGACGCCGCGUGGGUGAAGGAGCACCUCGGUGCGUAAAGCCCUAUCGGCAGGGAAGAAACAGACGGUACCUGACUAAGAAGCCCCGGCUAACUACGUGCCAGCAGCCGCGGUAAUACGUAGGGGGCGAGCGUUAUCCGGAUUUACUGGGUGUAAGGGGAGCGUAGACGGUUCUGCAAGUCUGAAGUGAAAGCCCGUGACUUAACCGCGGAACGGCUUUGGAAACUGUGGAACUGGAGUGCUGGAGAGGCAAGCGGAAUUCCUAGUGUAGCGGUGAAAUGCGUAGAUAUUAGGAGGAACACCAGUGGCGAAGGCGGCCUGCUGGGCUUUUACUGACGCUGAGGCUCGAAAGUGUGGGGAGCAAACAGGAUUAGAUACCCGAGUA